UAGAGUUUGAUCCUGGCUCAGAUUGAACGCUGGCGGUAUGCUUAACACAUGCAAGUCGAACGAGUAGUUACUUCGGUAACGAGAGUGGCGGACGGGUGAGUAACGCGUAGGAAUCUGCCUGUUAGUGGGGGACAACGUGGGGAAACUCAAGCUAAUACCGCAUACGCCCCACGGGGGAAAGGAGGGGACCUUCGGGCCUUCCGCUAACAGAUGAGCCUGCGUCGGAUUAGCUAGUUGGUAGGGUAAAGGCCUACCAGGGCGACGAUCUAUAGCUGGUCUGAGAGGACGAUCAGCCACACUGGGACUGAGACACGGCCCAGACUCCUACGGGAGGCAGCAGUGGGGAAUAUUGGACAAUGGGCGCAAGCCUGAUCCAGCAAUACCGCGUGUGUGAAGAAGGCCUUAGGGUUGUAAAGCACUUUCAAUGGGGAGGAAAACCUGCCGGUCAAUACCCGGUAGCUUGACAUUACCUAUAGAAGAAGCACCGGCUAACUCCGUGCCAGCAGCCGCGGUAAUACGGAGGGUGCGAGCGUUAAUCGGAAUUACUGGGCGUAAAGCGUGCGUAGGCGGCUCGUUAAGUCAGAUGUGAAAGCCCUGGGCUCAACCUGGGAACUGCAUUUGAAACUGGCGAGCUAGAGUUGAGUAGAGGGGAGUGGAAUUUCAGGUGUAGCGGUGAAAUGCGUAGAUAUCUGAAGGAACACCAGUGGCGAAGGCGACUCCCUGGACUCAAACUGACGCUGAGGUACGAAAGCGUGGGUAGCAAACAGGAUUAGAUACCCUGGUAGUCCACGCUGUAAACGAUGUCAACUAGCCGUUGGUCCUAUUUACAGGAUUAGUGGCGCAGCUAACGCAUUAAGUUGACCGCCUGGGGAGUACGGCCGCAAGGUUAAAACUCAAAGGAAUUGACGGA
Molecule: ribosomal RNA, 910 nt
Filed under: uncultured bacterium
Lineage: Bacteria
Description: bacterial SSU rRNA
Rfam family: Bacterial small subunit ribosomal RNA
Source: RNAcentral